UGCCUUUUGCACUGUGCUUUCAACAGAUCGAUCGCUGCUCGCGCUUAUUGUGAGCGUCGCUUAGCGCGGAAAUGCUGUGCCUCGGGCGUACCGUGUAUGUAAGCGCGGCGAGGCUCGCUCCGUGGCCGUCCGAGUGCCCACGUCUCCAGGCGGCAAGUGAUUUGGCUCACAUACUGCGUGAGCAAAAACAUAGGCACGUGGCUUUUGAAGGAGAUGACCGGCGACUUGCUUAAUCUGUAGGGCCACGUCAUCGCCGACUGGACGAACUACGCUCCUAAGGUCGUGCGGGACAGGCUGCUGGCGCGACCCCCACUCGGUGGCCCCGGGAAGAUUGUGCAAAUUGAUGAAUGCCUCCGCGGCAAGCGAAAGUACAAUUGAAGCCGCCUGAUGACGGGCGACAACGUUCCGCCGAGCCGCCAAAAUUACGGCGGCAUUGCAGAUCGUGAACCAUAAGUAUACGGCAUGAUCUUCGUGACCACCGGGGAGCUCCGACUUUUCAAGGUUGACUGACGAGACUCGGCGACGCUAGGCUCCAUUAUUGCAGCCAAUGUUCAACCGGGGACGGACCACCAUCCACAGUGAUGAAUGAGUCGCACUGCAUCCCACACUUAGUGGAUGCUCACAGAGCGAGCCUCAAUCUGCAAUGGGAAACAGCAAACGACAGCGUGAACUUUAUGGGCCCGAUCACGGGUGUUCACACGCAAAAAUAGAAAAUUAUUGGCAGAAAGUGAAGCGCCACCUCCUCUCCGCCGGCUACAGGUGCCGAUGGAAGUCCGUGGUCACCAACAGAGACUACAAGGAUUUGUAGCAGACAUUUUGUCGGGAAUUGCAAAAGUAACUGCAGCCAACACCCAUCGUAUGUGCCGACCAUUUUUCCGGCGGCGUACAAGACGCAGACACCUGACCCAGAAGUGGCGCAGAGAUGGAAACGGCAUUCUGUAAGGGCAGCCAGAUCACUGCAAAAUCCUGUGGAGCAGGCUGUGCCUCAAAGUACCCCUCAAGUUUACCCACAAAUGCAAGAUCAAGAUUCCUCUGCUUGCCUGGACGUCUACGACACACUUGCAAGUGAUGCGAAAUCACCAGAGAUGCCUCUCACACCUAUCAGUGAUGACCCUCAGCCUUCGGCAGGACGCUAUGAAACCCAACAAGCUCAACCACUUACACAGGCUGAUGCUGCAUGCCAAACAGAACCAGAACCCGGAGGAAAUCUGGUUAUCCUCCUGUCAGCGACAAAUGGGUCUGAAGCAUCAACUCAAGUUUCUCACAUUGAACAAUGUGACAAGGUCACUGGGACUGAUGGAAGCUGGGAGAGUAAAUUUGAACUUACGCAAAAUGAGAUUGCUUUGCAAGAUAUAUGUGGCGCCACCAUACAGGUCUUUUAGUCUUUUGCUCAAUAUUCUGCCAGAGCCUAGCUACCGAAGCACAGAUAUGACCCGCGAAGACAAGAUUGUCUCUUUUUAUCCAAGCCUAAGCUUAGGGUAAGCUUCAAUGCUAUGGCUGCAAUUUUCGGAGUGGCUGAAUCAACUGGAUCAAGUGUAUUAAAAAAAACGCUCAACAUACUUAGCGCAGCCUUGAAAGAGUGGGUAUUUGUGCCACCACGGGCUAUCAUCAAGCAGUGCAUGCCACAGCCAUUCAAAGAAAAUUAUCCAGACUGCACAUUUAUUAUUGACUGUACAGAAGUUCAAGCUGAAACGCCAUCAAAUCCCAACUGCCAGCACGUACUCUACUCCAAUUACAAGGGAGGUUAUACUUUGAAGGUCCUUGUCGGUAUAAUUCCAAAUGGAAUGAUAGCCUUCAUGUCAGGGGUAUAUGGUGGGCGGCAGACCGAUUCCUUUAUUGCCCAAGACUCUGGUUUUCUUAAUUUUGUACAAGAAGGGGAUAUUACCUUGAGCAAUAAAGGGUUUCCACGCAUCUGGACAGAUGUUAAGGACAAAUGCCGAGUUAUUUUGAUGCUUCCCUUCAAUUCUGGAGUUGGUCAACUGUCUCCAGGAGAUAUGGAUGCAACAUAUAAAAUUGUAUCUGUGCGUAUCCAUGUUGAGCGGGUUAUUCGCGGACUGAAAAUAUGCCGGAUCCUGCGGAACACAGUGCUCUUAACUUUGGUGCUGCACAUGGACAAAGUGUUCUCGGUAUGUGCUGCUUUGGUCAAUAUGCAGCCACCAUUAAUUAGAAAGAAAGGAUGAGUGCAUUGUUUGUAAUGCUUUGUGAGUGAGUUUUGCAUGGAAAUUUUGUGUGUGAAUAUAAUUCCUAAAGGAAAUUUACCAAUGUGUAAAUCAAGAUUGCCAAUGUUAUUUGUCUUGCACACAGGCUAAGAGUACAAAGUUACAAAUGUGGCAUCAUGAUGGACCAGCACAUUUGUUUCUGCACAGCCAAAAGAGAACUUUAUUGAAAGAUCAUGUAGUUUAUUCGUUCGUAAAGGUGUCUUUAGUUGGGCACUAAUUGCACAGCAUGAUUGAGUUAGCUUAUGGUGCACUGCAAUAUUACUUUGUGUCUGCUGUAUGCACAAUGAUUUUGUUUGCAAUGGCUUGCGAUUUCAAUAAAUAUUUCAUUUAUCAGUGCA
Molecule: long non-coding RNA, 2557 nt
Organism: Dermacentor andersoni
Lineage: Eukaryota; Metazoa; Arthropoda; Arachnida; Ixodida; Ixodidae
Source: RefSeq, a predicted model, not a curated record